This 1281-nucleotide ribosomal RNA is filed under the name Triticum aestivum (bread wheat). RNAcentral's name for it is "partial small subunit ribosomal RNA". Lineage: Eukaryota; Viridiplantae; Streptophyta; Magnoliopsida; Poales; Poaceae. The record is from RNAcentral.
AUGGCCAAAAUAUCAAGAUAUGGAAUGAUAACGGGCUACCGAGGGACAAUCUUUUUAAGAGCUCUCCAUCCAAAAUCUGCUGACCCUCCGGAAUAUGUGUGCGAAUUGAUAGAUGCUGCAACAAAAUCCUGGGAUUUCCAAAAAGUUAAUGAUCAUUUGCAGCCUCCAAACGCGGAGGUCGUUCUGAAAGAUUCCGCUGAGCACAAGGAACGCUACAGACAGUUGGAAUCAGUUCGACACCAUCGCAACAUGGCUGACACGGCGGUCUGCCUGAUCUGCAACGGAGCGGAGGAUUCUUGGCGGCACGCUCUACUGGACUGCAACAUGGCAAAAUGUGUAUGGGCUCUCAUGGAUGACCAACUGGUUGAAUACUUGAUCACAUGCCGAAGCGAUGAUGCUCGCCUUUGGCUGAUGGAGCUGAUGGAACAACAAGAGAAGAUGAACCUGCUUCUUCUAUCCAAAAAGGUCACACCAAACAUCAGUGCAGCCAUUGAAGCCACUACGGGACGGAAGAGGAGAACCUGGAAGCAACCUAGAGAAGGCCAUGUGAAAGUAAUGGUAGAUGCAGCAGUAGCAAGGAAUGGAAAUAAAGGAGUGUACGCAGCGAUCUGUCGAAACAAGGACGGCCUCUUUUUGGGAGCUUCGGCAGUUGUGGUACGGGGACAAGUUGAUCCAAAGAUCCUCGAAGCUUUGGCUUUCAACGAGGGACUCGCAUUGUCAACUGAUUUAUACGAGCGACGAGUUCAGGUGGGAACCGAUUGUGCUGCAACUAUUUCUCAUCUGAAAGACCCACCGGCGCCCGAGCGGCAGCCCUGGCAGGUGAAGACGGGCGCCGCGAGCGGCGGCCCUGAGCCCCUGACCGUGAAGAUUGUCGCCCUGCGCCGCCGCCAACCCCAACCUCCCGUCGGUCGCUCCACCGCCUAUGACGCGGCCGUGCGCCGCCGGUGCUCCACCUCCCGAGGACGAGUUCAACCACUACAGUUCGUCACCACUCACCACUACCCGUCCUCUUCCACACGGUUCGUCCGCCACCGAUGCUCCACCUCCCGACGACCUGCCCACUUUCAGUUCUCCACAUCGCAGCUGAAGAUGUUUUCUGAACAUGAUGAGGAACUGAAUGAGAAUGAAGAUGCAUUUAUGAGUGUAGAGGCAGAUGCAGAAGCAGGAGACGAAUCCGUCUUAUGUAGUAUUAUUGACGAUGAAGUUGCCGAACCAACAGUUGUCGAAGGUGCCAAAAUAGAAGCUGCUCAAGAUGACAAGCCAAUUGAAGCUGAAUCAUGA